CCUACGUGUGGCAGCAGUGAGGAAUAUUGGUCAAUGGGCGAGAGCCUGAACCAGCCAAGUCGCGUGAAGGAUGAAGGAUCUAUGGUUUGUAAACUUCUUUUAUAUGGGAAUAAAGUGAGGAACGUGUUCCUUUUUGUAUGUACCAUAUGAAUAAGCAUCGGCUAACUCCGUGCCAGCAGCCGCGGUAAUACGGAGGAUGCGAGCGUUAUCCGGAUUUAUUGGGUUUAAAGGGUGCGUAGGUGGUUAAUUAAGUCAGCGGUGAAAGUUUGUGGCUCAACCAUAAAAUUGCGGUUGAAACUGGUUGACUUGAGUAUAUUUGAGGGAGACGGAAUGCGUGGUGUAGCGGUGAAAUGCAUAGAUAGAACGAAGAACUCAGAUUGCGAAGGCAGCUUACUAAACUAUAACUGACACUGAGGAACGAAAGCGAGGGGAUCAAACAGGAUUAGAUACCCUUGUAGUC
This 460-nucleotide ribosomal RNA is filed under the name uncultured bacterium. RNAcentral's name for it is "partial 16S ribosomal RNA". It matches the Rfam family "Bacterial small subunit ribosomal RNA", at positions 338 to 795 of the family's 1533-position model. The record is from RNAcentral.